Molecule: unclassified non-coding RNA, 294 nt
Filed under: Hevea brasiliensis (rubber tree)
Lineage: Eukaryota; Viridiplantae; Streptophyta; Magnoliopsida; Malpighiales; Euphorbiaceae
Source: RNAcentral
UUAAAAUCCUAAAUAGAAUAGGAAGCUAAAAUGGAGUAGGAAAAUACUAAAAUAAAAUCCCAAUUAGAAUAGGAAACACUAAAACUGGAAAAUUCAGCUCUGCUUCAUACUUCCUUGUUUAAAAAACUCGUCCUUGAGUUAGAACAGCUUGCAACGAUCCGACAAUGUUGUACCGACAAUUCACAUACCAUUCUCUCCCACUUAAAACUUUUCCUCGGAUUUUGAGGUGUUGAAGAAUAAAAAACUUUAUAGGAUCAAUACACCACAUUGCCUUUGUAAAGUUUUUAGAGAGAA